RNAcentral lists this ribosomal RNA (201 nucleotides) under uncultured bacterium. RNAcentral's name for it is "partial 16S ribosomal RNA". It matches the Rfam family "Bacterial small subunit ribosomal RNA", at positions 328 to 539 of the family's 1533-position model. The record is from RNAcentral.
ACGCUCGACACCUACGGGAGGCAGCAGUGGGGAAUAUUGCACAAUGGGGGAAACCCGUAGAUGCAGCGACGCCGCGUGGAGGAAGAAGGUCUUCGGAUUGUAAACUCCUGUUGUUGGGGAAAAAGAAGGAUGGUACCCAACAAGGAAGUGACGGCUAACUACGUGCUAGCAGCCGCGGUAAUCUGAGCGGGCUGGCAAGGC